CGCGUAGGCGGAUGGUUAAGUCCGGUGUGAAAGAUCAGGGCUCAACCUUGGGGCUGCAUUUGAUACGUGUAGACUAGAGUGUGAGAGAGGGUUGUGGAAUUCCCAGUGUAGAGGUGAAAUUCGUAGAUAUUGGGAAGAACACCGGUGGCGAAGGCGGCAACCUGGCUCAUUACUGACGCUGAGGCGCGAAAGCGUGGGGAGCAAACAGGAUUAGAUACCCCGGUA
RNAcentral lists this ribosomal RNA (225 nucleotides) under uncultured Asaia sp. RNAcentral describes it as "partial 16S ribosomal RNA". It matches the Rfam family "Bacterial small subunit ribosomal RNA", at positions 568 to 792 of the family's 1533-position model. Lineage: Bacteria; Pseudomonadati; Pseudomonadota; Alphaproteobacteria; Acetobacterales; Acetobacteraceae. The record is from RNAcentral.